CCCAGCGGCCCAGAGACAAGAUGGGCGGUGCGUCGCAGAACCGGAAAGGAGCCACAGGCUGACCCCGGCUUUCUGUGUGGCUGGAGGGGGAGGCGGCCCCCUAGUGGCAAAGGUCCGCACAGGGCCGAAGUUCAACGAGUCCCAGAGACUAAAGGUGACCUUCCUGCCCUGGGUUCUGAUGCCGCCUCCCACGACCGGGGGCCGAGCCGGCUGGGGGUGCCCCAAGAUCUCCUGGAGCAGGAUCGCUUCCUCACUGUGGCCCCUCUGCAAACUUCACGCUCCUUACCUGCACUGACGCGAGAGCAACAGAGGAGUCAAUUGCCCCCAGCUCCUGAUAGCAAGUGACAUUGAUUAGCCGGCUCCUGCAAAGGGCGAUGUGUUACCUGCAGUCAACAGCGGUUUGGAAACGAGGGGUCCCCCUUCUGACGGAUAAUCAGAAAGUCACAAGUAGCCUAACACUACGUCGAAAUGCCCACGUUGCUCCCUCACUUCAUCUCCUCACACAGGCAUUUUAUCAUCUCACAUCGUUACAAGAAAGGUCUACACCAUCCAAUAUGGCAGCCACGACUCAUGUGUGCUAGUCCCAGUUGAGCAAGUAUAAAGAGCACAUCGGCUUCUGAAGACUUAAUACAAAAAAAAAAAAAAAAAAAAAAGACACGCAGUAUCUCAAUAAUAUUUUAUGAUUACGUCUUGAAAUAGUACUGUUUUGGAUAGUUUGAUUAAAUAAAACAUACUGUUAAUUAACUUCACCUCUUUUUCCUUUUAAAGAUCUGGUAACUAGAAAAUCAUAAUACAUAGCUUGGAUGAUAUUUUGAUUGGACGGUGCUGCUCAGGAUGACACAAUCAGGGAGGAAUGGGGAGGUCUGGCUUUUUCUCUCUUCAUCUGGAUCAACAGGUGUAGGAUGGCCCUACUCAGGGUUG
Long non-coding RNA from Leopardus geoffroyi (Geoffroy's cat), 921 nucleotides. RefSeq lists it as uncharacterized. NCBI's taxonomy places the organism in Eukaryota, Metazoa, Chordata, Mammalia, Carnivora, Felidae. The transcript has 4 exons. The record is from RefSeq and is a predicted model, not a curated record.